GUGUUCGGAUUGCGGCGACGUGGGCGGUUCGCUGCCCGCGACGUUGUGAGAAGUCCACUGAACCUUAUCAUUUAGAGGAAGGAGAAGUCGUAACAAGGUUUCCGUAGGUGAACCUGCGGAAGGAUCAUUGUCGAUGCCUCAACCAAUUCGACCCGCGAAUCUGUUCGAACACGCGGCGUUGGCUCGAGGUCGAAAGUCUCAGCCUCGCCCCGGCGAGGAGGGGGUCACGCCCGGCGCGGCUCGCUCCUGCCAAAACAAAACCCCGGCGCAUCGUGCGCCAAGGAACAUGAAAUUGUUAACGAUGCGCUCCUGGGCCCGGAGACGGUGUCCUCGCGAGCGUCGUCGUGACACAUUACACACAAAAUGACUCUCGGCAACGGAUAUCUCGGCUCUUGCAUCGAUGAAGAACGUAGCGAAAUGCGAUACUUGGUGUGAAUUGCAGAAUCCCGUGAACCAUCGAGUCUUUGAACGCAAGUUGCGCCCGAAGCCAUUAGGUCGAGGGCACGCCUGCCUGGGUGUCACAAAUCGUUGCCCGACGCCAACGCCCGACCCGGUCGGGCGCUGGCGGGGCGGAUGCUGACCUCCCACAAGCAUCGCCUUGCGGUUGGUUGAAAAACGAGUCCUACGCGGAGAGCCCCGUGAUAAAUGGUGGUUGAGUAACACUCGAGACCGUUCACGUGCGGCCUCCCCGCAGGCGCGACCCGCGCGUUCCGCGGAACGCUCAUAACGAGACCUCAGGUCAGACGGGGCUACCCGCUGAGUUUAAGCAUAUCAAUAAGCGGAGGAAAAGAAACUAACAAGGAUUCCCUUAGUAACGGCGAGCGACG
RNAcentral lists this small RNA (827 nucleotides) under Millettia pachyloba. Its description in RNAcentral is "eukaryotic LSU rRNA". The stretch from base 366 to 521 matches the Rfam family "5.8S ribosomal RNA". Lineage: Eukaryota; Viridiplantae; Streptophyta; Magnoliopsida; Fabales; Fabaceae. The record is from RNAcentral.